GAUGAACGCUGGCGGCGUGCCUAAUACAUGCCAGUCGAGCGAACAGACGAGGAGCUUGCUCCUCUGACGUUAGCGGCGGACGGGUGAGUAACACGUGGAUAACCUACCUAUAAGACUGGGAUAACUUCGGGAAACCGGAGCUAAUACCGGAUAAUAUAUUGAACCGCAUGGUUCAAUAGUGAAAGACGGUUUUGCCGUCACCUCUAGAUUGAUCCGCGCCGCAUUAGCUAGUUGGUAAGGUAACGGCUUACCAAGGCAACGAUGCGUAGCCGACCUGAGAGGGUGAUCGGCCACACUGGAACUGAGACACGGUCCAGACUCCUACGGGAGGCAGCAGUAGGGAAUCUUCCGCAAUGGGCGAAAGCCUGACGGAGCAACGCCGCGUGAAUGAUGAAGGUCUUCGGAUCGUAAAACUCUGUUAUUAGGGAAGAACAAAUGUGUAAGUAACUAUGCACGUCUUGACGGUACCUAAUCAGAAAGCCACGGCUAACUACGUG
Molecule: ribosomal RNA, 497 nt
Filed under: uncultured bacterium
Lineage: Bacteria
Description: partial 16S ribosomal RNA
Rfam family: Bacterial small subunit ribosomal RNA
Source: RNAcentral